UGUUGUCAAUGGUUUUUUUUUUUUUUUUGUUAAAAUAUCUCUAAACUUACUAUUAAAAUGCGAAGCUCUUUAGAGAUCUCUCCGAUAUGAUCUUUAUAGAGGAGUUAAUGCAUCUUUUUAAAAGCCAGAGUCAGCAAUUUAUCGAUAGAAAAUUCAUUUUAUAUUAUAUUAUUUCCAUCAACAGCUCUCUAGAUUCGAUUUAAAACAAACGAAAAAGAAACGUUUAUAGCUUUUGGUUGUUCAUUGUAUUUUUUUUUUCUUUUUUUCCUGCCGAAGGCCCACUGCGUAAAGAUUUAUGAGCACUUGGCCUUCUCUCGGUCAGGAGUAUUUAUUUGUUUAAUUGAAAUAAUAGACUAGAACACAUUGCCUCAAUGAAAUUCCUGAUUAAAUCCACUCGGCUGUUAAUGGAAUUUUGUUUAAAAAAAUUUUUAGAAGAAACAUAAAUCAUUACAUUAAUAGACAGACGUGUUUUACUCAUAGACACGCAUUGAAAUUCAUAGAAAAUAAUGAAAAAUUGGCGCAGUAACUCAACCAUUGUAAAGUUUGCUGGAUGUACACAGUUUUUUUAUUCGUUCGGGACGUAAUGUAUAUAUGUGGAAUAUAAUAUAAUAAUAAAAAUGGCGGAGAAAGGUUAUUUAUGGCCUUUCUUGACAAAACAAGCCAAAUUAAAAAGAAAAGUAGGGCUUAUUGCCGUUUCGGCGGUGGCCAACUCCAUAACAGUCAAUCUGUAUAAUAUUUUGCCCCGGGCAUUUUACGUAUUAGCCAACGGCCAUAAAGUCAGCAGCAGGUAUUGGUACCUGGUGCUGUUUCGACAGGCAAUAUACAGAUCUCUCAAUAUAACGAUGCUAGAUGCAGAAAUUCGAAUCUCGUAGCAUAAUGGACCAAAGUGAUGUUCUAUAUCACAGCACACGAAAAGCCAGGAACUGUCAAGCCAUUCUACUGACGGGAGUUCAAAGUUGCCAGAAGCUAUUACGUUGGCGAUAUCGGUGAAACAUUCGUGGAUAGUAAAAGUUUAGUGGUAAUAAACGCUUAUCUGUGAAAUACAGAGUAUAAUAUCUUUGCCGUCACUUCAGCUAGCUUACCAGACGCUUAUUUAAGGGCUAAAAUUUUUAAGAUUCACAUAAUGACCCAAUGCAAUCUCUUCUGUGUUCGAUGCUAAUCUUACGUUAACUUCUUUUCUUUCUGACUUCAAUAUCCAUUCUUUCAUUUGGCAGUAAAACAAUGUUCUACUCACGCCGAAUCACCCAAAAUUGAAGCUGUAAAUACACCGUCUGUCACUGGUUUUCAUCACUGUUUUCCCUGACAUUCAUCGACUAUACCGAAUAUCGAGAAUACGAGCAUCAGGACCAUCUUUGCUUAAAUUAAUUUCCAUCGAUAAAAUCCGUGUAGGUGCCGUUAUAAAUAUAAAAAAAAAAAAAACCCGAACUGUUUCUCAGUUACAACGUUUACUCGAACUCCUUUCAAUAUUUUAAAAUUUAAUAAAGAUUUUAGAAGCUUCAAGUUUUUCCGAAAGAAUAGUCCGUGAAACUUUAUGUUGCUUAAAAUAAAAUAUACAUGGG
RNAcentral lists this long non-coding RNA (1559 nucleotides) under Androctonus crassicauda. The record is from RNAcentral. Lineage: Eukaryota; Metazoa; Arthropoda; Arachnida; Scorpiones; Buthidae.